Molecule: ribosomal RNA, 454 nt
Filed under: Entrophospora lamellosa
Lineage: Eukaryota; Fungi; Glomeromycota; Glomeromycetes; Entrophosporales; Entrophosporaceae
Description: LSU rRNA
Rfam family: Eukaryotic large subunit ribosomal RNA
Source: RNAcentral
GGAAAGAUGAAAAGAACUUUGAAAAGAGAGUUAAACAGUACGUGAAAUUGUUGAAAGGGAAACGAUUGAAGUCAGUCGUGCUGGCGCGAAAUCAACCCUCUCGUCGAGAGGUCACAUGGCGUGGCGAGCCUCAAAACCGUCACGAAGCGUGAACUCUUGGCGAAAAGGAGCACUUUCGUGUCCGCUGGUUAACAUCAAUUUCGAACGUCAUAAAAAGGCUGGAGGGAUGUGGCUCCUUCGGGAGUGUUAUAACCUUUAGCGGAAUGUGGUGGUCGGGAUUGAGGAUUGCAACGAAUACCUUUAGGGCUGUUCCACCUGGCUUCUCUUUGGUAUCCUGGUGACGACAGCUUGCUGACGUUGUUAGGAUUCGCCUUUGAACAGGCUAGAGUGUGAGCAAAUUCGUUAAGGAUGUUAACGUAAUGGCUUUAAACGACCCGUCUUGAAACACGGACCA